GAAUGAUGCAACGCACACAGCAAGUGGAACGGCAGGCGACCGGCAAAUGGAAUAGAAUCUAUUGUAGUGAAUGAUGCAACGCACACAGCAAGUGGAACGGCAGGCGACCGGCAAAUGGAAUAGAAUCUAUUGUAGUGAAUGAUGCAACGCACACAGCAAGUGGAACGGCAGGCGACCGGCAAAUGGAAUAGAAUCUAUUGUAGUGAAUGAUGCAACGCACACAGCAAGUGGAACGGCAGGCGACCGGCAAAUGGAAUAGAAUCUAUUGUAGUGAAUGAUGCAACGCACACAGCAAGUGGAACGGCAGGCGACCGGC
Molecule: long non-coding RNA, 316 nt
Organism: Alosa alosa (allis shad)
Lineage: Eukaryota; Metazoa; Chordata; Actinopteri; Clupeiformes; Clupeidae
Exons: 2
Source: RefSeq, a predicted model, not a curated record